GAUGAAGAACGUAGUGAAAUGCGAUAAGUAAUGUGAAUUGCAGAAUUCAGUGAAUCAUCGAAUCUUUGAACGCACAUUGCGCCCGCCAGUAUUCUGGCGGGCAUGCCUGUCUGAGCGUCAUUUCAACCCUCAUGCCCCUGGGGCGUGGUGUUGGGGAUCGGCCAAAGCCCGCGAGGGACGGCCGGCCCCUAAAUCUAGUGGCGGACCCGUCGUGGCCUCCUCUGCGAAGUAGUGAUAUUCCGCAUCGGAGAGCGACGAGCCCCUGCCGUUAAACCCCCAACUUUCCAAGGUUGACCUCAGAUCAGGUAGGAAUACCCGCUGAACUUAAGCAUAUCAAUAAGCGGAGGA
Molecule: unclassified non-coding RNA, 348 nt
Filed under: soil metagenome
Description: partial contains 5.8S ribosomal RNA, internal transcribed spacer 2, and large subunit ribosomal RNA
Rfam family: 5.8S ribosomal RNA (bases 1-120)
Source: RNAcentral